CACAUUUGAUGUUUUAAAAGGUUUUGAAAUUGUUUUCCAAACGUGAAGCACUAACAGGAUAUAAAAACCAGCUUGGUUGGUACUUACUUAGGAGGAUAACUGCUAUCCCAAUAACGGCAAAUAAACAAGUAACAUGUCAUACCUUCUGUUCAUAAUUGUGAAGCCCACAGUGAUUUUACCACCUGUGACAUCAGUCCGUGAUUGUUUGUGAUGAUUUAUGGAGAUACGAGAUGUGUUUUUAAAUAUAAAAGCUCAUUCAGUAAGUAUUUAUGAAUUAAGGAAUUCUCCACAACUCACAACGCCUUCCUGUGUCUCAGUGUUCUUCAUCCUAACACCGUGCUAAAAGCACCUCCACAAAGACUCGUGUAGAAGAGAAUGCUAAUUCUGAAUGACCUGAUGUUAAGAAACAGGAAACGCUGCUUCUUCUGCAAGUUGCUAAAAGACAUAAAGGUGCAUAGGACAGUGCAUUGCUGGAGACAGUUUGCAAGGAGAUGCAAUUAAAUGAAGAUUUAUCCUGAUAACACUGGAAACAACCUUUUCCCCCAGUACAUCACAUCAUCACUUGGAAGACUGAAUGGUGACCAUCACAGCUAAUGGGAUGAAAUCAUAGGCAGCGCACUACCAAAGGAGGGGUUGGAACCUUCUUUUCAAAAGGAUUUCUGUUCCAGUGAGCAGAAGGAAAGCAGCUUCUCUCCAUUUCCUGAGCUGUAAACUUACAAAGUGUGGUUUGCUUUGAUUUUGCAUCCCACGGUUGGAUUAUACUCUGUCUAAUAAAGCACAUGUGAGAUGUGUUCAGUAAUGUGAGAACUCUGGAGCAUAUGUAGCAUCACUCUAGUGUGGCAGUUCUCUCAUCCAGGGGAAUGGGGGUGAUAAACUGGGGCUGUCUGCUCCUCCUAGCCGUCAGUUUUUAUAAUACCAGUAGGAAUCUCAUUUUAGAAAGAGCUUCAUCUUUUCAUCCUUCCUUUUUUUUUUUUUUUUUUUUUUUUUGGUUUUUUGUUUUUUAAUUUUCCUAACUGAAUAACAAAAAGGGAGAAACACAACUG
Molecule: long non-coding RNA, 1043 nt
Organism: Gallus gallus (chicken)
Lineage: Eukaryota; Metazoa; Chordata; Aves; Galliformes; Phasianidae
Source: Ensembl